AGAGUUUGAUCCUGGCUCAGAACGAACGCUGGCGGCAUGCCUAAUACAUGCAAGUCGAACGAGACCUUCGGGUCUAGUGGCGCACGGGUGCGUAACGCGUGGGAAUCUGCCCUUGGGUUCGGAAUAACUUCGGGAAACUGAAGCUAAUACCGGAUGAUGACGAAAGUCCAAAGAUUUAUCGCCCAGGGAUGAGCCCGCGUAGGAUUAGCUAGUUGGUGAGGUAAAGGCUCACCAAGGCAACGAUCCUUAGCUGGUCUGAGAGGAUGAUCAGCCACACUGGGACUGAGACACGGCCCAGACUCCUACGGGAGGCAGCAGUAGGGAAUAUUGGACAAUGGGCGAAAGCCUGAUCCAGCAAUGCCGCGUGAGUGAUGAAGGCCUUAGGGUUGUAAAGCUCUUUUACCCGAGAUGAUAAUGACAGUACCGGGAGAAUAAGCACCGGCUAACUCCGUGCCAGCAGCCGCGGUAAUACGGAGGGUGCAAGCGUUGUUCGGAAUUAUUGGGCGUAAAGCGCGUGUAGGCGGUUUGUUAAGUCUGGUGUGAAAGCCCUGGGCUCAACCUGGGAAGUGCAUUGGAUACUGGCAAACUUGAGUACGGGAGAGGAUAGUGGAAUUUCGAGUGUAGGGGUGAAAUCCGUAGAUAUUCGAAGGAACACCGGUGGCGAAGGCGGCUAUCUGGACCGAUACUGACGCUGAGACGCGAAAGCGUGGGGAGCAAACAGGAUUAGAUACCCUAGUAGUCCACGCUGUAAACGAUGAAUACUAAGUGUUGGAGAAAUUCAGUGCUGCAGUUAACGCAAUAAGUAUUCCGCCUGGGGAGUAUGCACGCAAGUGUGAAACUCAAAGGAAUUGACGGGACCCCGCACAAGCGGUGGAUUAUGUUGUUUAAUUCGACGCAACGCGAAGAACCUUACCAGGCCUUGACAUACUCAGCAAAACCCUAGAGAUAGGGUGGAGGUUAUCUGGGAUACAGGUGGUGCAUGGUUGUCGUCAGCUCGUGUCGUGAGAUGUUGGGUUAAGUCCCGCAACGAGCGCAACCCUUGUCUUUAGUUACCAUCAUUCAGUUGGGGACUCUAGAGAGACUGCCGGUGAUAAACCGGAGGAAGGUGGGGAUGACGUCAAAUCAUCAUGCCCCUUAUGGCCUGGGCUACAAACGUAAUACAAUGGCGUAUACAAAGGGAUGCGAAAGGGUGACCUGGAGCAAAACUCACAAAGUACGUCUCAGUUCAGAUUGGAGUCUGCAACUCGACUCCAUGAAGGCGGAAUCGCUAGUAAUCGCGGAUCAGCAAGCCGCGGUGAGUACGUUCUCGGGGUUUCUACACACCGCCCCUCAAA
RNAcentral lists this ribosomal RNA (1334 nucleotides) under uncultured bacterium. Its description in RNAcentral is "partial 16S ribosomal RNA". It matches the Rfam family "Bacterial small subunit ribosomal RNA". The record is from RNAcentral.